GACGAACGCUGGCGGCGUGCUUAACACAUGCAAGUCGAACGGAAAGGCCCUGCUUUUUUGGGGUGCUCGAGUGGCGAACGGGUGAGUAACACGUGAGUAACCUUCCCUUUACUUUGUGAUAACUUCAGGAAACUGGUGCUACUACCUGAUAGGAGCUCCUGCUGCAUGGUGGGGGUUGGACAGUUUCGGCUGUAGGGGAUGUACUGGCGGGUUAUCAGCUUGUUGGUGGGGGAGUUGCAUACCAAGGCUUCGACGGGUAGGCGGCCUGAGAGGGGGGACGGGGACAAUGGGACUGAGAGACGGAGCAGAGGGGUACGGGAGACAGCAGGGGGGAGUAUGGCACAGUGAGCGGGAGCGUGAUGCAGAAACCCUGCGUGCGGGAAGAAGGCCUUGGGGGGGUGAACCGCUGUAGCCUGUGACGAAGCGGGAGUGACGGUAAUAGGUAAAGAAGCACCGGCUAACUACGUG
Molecule: ribosomal RNA, 468 nt
Filed under: uncultured bacterium
Lineage: Bacteria
Description: partial 16S ribosomal RNA
Rfam family: Bacterial small subunit ribosomal RNA
Source: RNAcentral